This 801-nucleotide ribosomal RNA is filed under the name uncultured bacterium. Its description in RNAcentral is "bacterial SSU rRNA". It matches the Rfam family "Bacterial small subunit ribosomal RNA", at positions 8 to 817 of the family's 1533-position model. The record is from RNAcentral.
AGAGUUUGAUCCUGGCUCAGGANGAACGCUGGCGGCGUGCCUAACACAUGCAAGUCGAACGCGCUCCAUCCGGUAGCAAUACUGAUGAAGAGUGAGUGGCGAACGGGUGAGUAGCACGUGAGCAACCUGCCCCGAAGACUGGGACAACACCGGGAAACCGGUGCUAAUACCGGAUACCCUUAUUGGACCGCAUGAUUCGAUAAGGAAAUGGAUUCCGCUUCGGGAGGGGCUCGCGGCCUAUCAGCUUGUUGGUGGGGUAAUGGCCUACCAAGGCUUCGACGGGUAGCUGGUCUGAGAGGACGAUCAGCCACACUGGGACUGAGACACGGCCCAGACUCCUACGGGAGGCAGCAGUGGGGAAUCUUGCGCAAUGGGCGAAAGCCUGACGCAGCAACGCCGCGUGGAGGACGAAUGCUUUCUGAGUUGUAAACUCCUUUCAGCAGGGACGAUAGUGACGGUACCUGCAGAAGAAGCACCGGCCAACUACGUGCCAGCAGCCGCGGUGAUACGUAGGGUGCAAGCGUUGUCCGGAUUUAUUGGGCGUAAAGGGCUCGUAGGCGGUUUGAUAAGUCGGGUGUGAAACCUCCAGGCUCAACCUGGAGCCGCCACUCGAUACUGUCAUGACUAGAAUUCGGUAGGGGACCACGGAAUUCCUGGUGUAGCGGUGAAAUGCGCAGAUAUCAGGAGGGACACCAGCAGCGAAGGCGGUGGUCUGGGCCGAAAUUGACGCUGNNNAGCGAAAGCGNNNNNAGCGAACAGGAUUAGAUACCCUGGUAGUCCACGCCGUAAACGUUGGGCACU